RNAcentral lists this ribosomal RNA (2008 nucleotides) under Rhodophysemopsis hyperborea. RNAcentral describes it as "eukaryotic LSU rRNA". It matches the Rfam family "Eukaryotic large subunit ribosomal RNA", at positions 51 to 2190 of the family's 3401-position model. Lineage: Eukaryota; Rhodophyta; Florideophyceae; Palmariales; Meiodiscaceae. The record is from RNAcentral.
CGGAGGAAAAGAAACUAACAAGGAUUCCCCUAGUAGCGGCGAGCGAAGCGGGAACAGCCCAAGAUGAAAAUCCCUUCGGGGAGUUGUAGUCUGAGUGUCCUUGGGUGGGUCAGUGCGGGCAAGUCGUCUGGAAUGGCGUGCCAUGGAGGGUGAGAGCCCCGUCCAUCCCGCACAGGAUCCGCUCGUACAAGGGCGCUUCAACCGAGUCGGGUAGCUUGGGAAUGCUGCUCUAAUUGGUGGUAAAUCUCAUCAAAGGCUAAAUAGUGGUGGGAGACCGAUAGCGAACAAGUACCGUGAGGGAAAGAUGGAAAGAACUUUGAAAAGAGAGUGAAAAGCACUUGAAACCGUCACGGGGGAAGCGGAUUGCGUGAGUGAUGGUGUCGCUUGUUCAGCGCUUUAUUGCGUGCAUUCUGGCGGCGCCGUGCCGGCGUGGCUGGCUGGCCUGUGAUUUUGACAGGCUCGGCUGGUGAGGGCUCCCUCUUAUGAGGUGAGGACGCGGGCAAAAUGACGCAAUACGACCCGUCUUGAAACACGGACCAAGGAGUCUAGCACGGCUGCGAGUCGAAGGGUGAUUAAACCCAAGGGCGCAGUGAAAGCGAAAUUAUAAGCAAAUUGGGGAGGCGUUGCGCGUUUAGCAAAAUGUCCUACCUCGAGCAUUUGUGCUGGGACCCGAAAGAUGGUGAACUAUGCCGGAGUAGGGCAAAGCCAGAGGAAACUCUGGUGGAGGCUCGUAGCGAUGCUGACGUGCAAAUCGCUCGUCGAACUUGGGUAUAGGGGCGAAAGACUAAUCGAACCAUCUAGUAGCUGGUUCCCUCCGAAGUUUCUCUCAGGAUAGCGGGCCGACACGCGUUUGUUGUUUUGUGCGGUAAAGCGAAUGAUUAGUGCAUUCGGGGUACGAAGUACUUCGGGCGAUUCUCAAACUUUAAAUGCGCAAGGGGGCGGCUGCUUAAUUGAGCCUGCUCUUUGAAAAACGUCGGCCCUGUGGGCCACUUUUGGUAAGCAGAACUGGCGAUAAGGGAUGAACCUUAAGCGCGGUUAAGGCGCCUCAUUGCCCGCUUAUAGACCCCACAAAAGGUGUUGAUUCAUAUAGACAGCAGGACGGUGGCCAUGGAAGUCGGAAUCCGCUAAGGAGUGUGUAACAACUCACCUGCCGAAUGAAUUAGCCCUGAAAAUGGAUGGCGCUGAAGCGGGCAGCCGACACCGCGCCGUUCCGGCGAGACGAGGCCGGGAUGAGUAGGAGGGCGUGGCGGUCAGUGAAGCAGGCGAGGGUGCAGACCCCGCUGAAACGGCCGCUAGUGCAGAUCUUGGUGGUAGUAGCAAAUAUUCAAGCGAGAUCCUUGAAGGGCGAAGCGGGGAAGGGUUCCACGCAAACAUUGAUUGGGCGUGGGUGAGUCGUUCCUAAGCCGAGUGGCAAUUGCUAAGUAGCGGCGAAAGGGAAGCGGGUUAAAAUUCCCGCACACGGAUAUGGAGGCGGCGACGCAAGCAGAGGCGAAUACGCUGGCCGAGGCGCUGGGCAGAGUUGUCUUUUCUGUUUGACCGGCAUCGCGCCGUGUGGAAUCCGCUUAUCGGGAGAAACACGCGCGGGGAGGGGCAGAGCGUCAGGUUUUUUCUGGCGUCCAGCUCGCCUCGGACGGCCCCUGAAAAUUCGCCCGCGAACUUUAAAAAUUUCAUGCUGUGACGUACCGAUAACCGCAUCAGGUCCCCAAGGUGAACAGCCUCUGCUCAAUAUGAACAAUGCAGGUAAGGGAAGUCGGCAAAAUAGACCCGUAACUUUGGGAAAAGGGUUGGCUCUAGUGGGAUGAAGGUCUUCAAAGGGGGCUUCGCUGUGCUUGGCGCGGGACGGCUGUGGCUAGACCCUCACGGGUUUGGCUGCUACUGUUCUGCACCUUGCGUGGGGGAUGUUUCUCGCCUUCAGCAUAUCCCAGACUAGAACUGCAACGGGCAAAGGGAAUCCGACUGUUUAAUUAAAACAAAGCAUUGCGAAGGCCGUGGCCGGUGUUGACGCAAU